GGACGUCUAGCUCAGCGGUAGAGCACGCGCUCGAUAGGAGCGCGGUCGGUAGUUCGAUCCUAUCGACGUCCACCA
Molecule: transfer RNA, 75 nt
Filed under: Rhizobium laguerreae
Lineage: Bacteria; Pseudomonadati; Pseudomonadota; Alphaproteobacteria; Hyphomicrobiales; Rhizobiaceae
Description: tRNA-Ile
Rfam family: tRNA
About the family: Transfer RNA (tRNA) molecules are approximately 80 nucleotides in length.
Source: RNAcentral